Molecule: unclassified non-coding RNA, 135 nt
Filed under: uncultured Chaetomium
Lineage: Eukaryota; Fungi; Ascomycota; Sordariomycetes; Sordariales; Chaetomiaceae
Description: sequence contains ITS1
Source: RNAcentral
CAGAGUUGCAAAACUCCCAACCCUUUGUGAACGAACCUAACAGUUGCUUCGGCGGAAGGCUCUUUACUGAGCGGCCCGCCGGAGGUCUAUAAACUCUUGUUUUUUGGUAUCUCUGAGUAGCUUAUAAAUAAGUUA